This 2310-nucleotide long non-coding RNA is filed under the name Salmo salar (Atlantic salmon). RNAcentral describes it as "lncRNA (ENSSSAG00000119284.1)". Lineage: Eukaryota; Metazoa; Chordata; Actinopteri; Salmoniformes; Salmonidae. The record is from RNAcentral.
GCCAGCUUAUAUAAAUAUCUUCUGUGAAUCAAUAAGGGUUGAAACAUUUUGAAGAUUGAUAUAAAAUAUCCAUAUUUAUUUUAUGGUGGUUCUACAUCAGAGCUCCCCAACCCUGUUCCUGGAGAGAUACCGUCCUAUAGGUUUUUAUUCCAACCCUAAUCUAGCACACCUGAUUCUAAUAAUUACCUGGUUGAUAAACUGAACUGGGGUUGGAGCAAAAACCUAUAGGAGGGUAGCUCUCCAGGAACAUGGUUAGAGACUUCUGUUCUACAUAGUCUUGUGCCAGGGUUUCCCAAAAUCUGUCCUGGGGACCCAAAGGGGUGCACGUUUAGUUUUGUUGCCCUAGCACUACACAGCUAAUUCAAAUAAUCAACUAAUCAUCAAGCUUUGAUUUAUUUUAAUCAUCUGUGUAGUGCUAGUGUCAAGGUGUUGGGUGCCUACUGGUAGCGAAGUCAGGUGCAGGAGAGCAGAGAGUUGUGAACAGGCGCACACUUUAUUGAGGCAGGAGAAAACAGCAGACGGACACAACUGCGUCAAAACCACCAGCCACAAUAGCAAAAAGUGCAGAGCGCAAAACACAGUCACAAAAGCUAAUGAAUUCAAAUAAACAUACUACGUGCAAUAACACGGAUCAUAAACACCAGCCUGGCGCGUAACCGCAAACACGUAACACGAAACAAUUUCACACAAAGACAUGGGGGGAAUAGAGGAAUAAAUACAUGAAGUGUGAUUGGGAAUGUAAACCAGGUGUGCAGGGAACAAGACAAAACAAAUGGAACAAUGAAAAAUGGAGCGGCGAUGGCUAGAAAGCCGGUGACGUCGACCGCCGAACGCCGCCCAAACAAGGAGAGGAGCCGACUUUGGCGGAAGUCGUGACAGGGGACGACCCGGAGGGUGAGGCGCAGGGCGAUCUGGCCGGCGACGAUGGAACUCCCGCAGCAGUUCAGGGUCCAACACAUCCGCCACCGGAACUCAGCACCUCUCCUCCGGGCCAUACCCCUCCCACUCCACGAGGUACUGAAGGCCCCCCGCCCGACGCCUCAAAUCCAGGAUGGAAUGAACGGAGUACGCCGGGGCGGAGGAACCUCCCGCACCUCAGAUUCCUUGAGUGGACCAACCACCACCGGCCAGAGGAGAGAUACAUGGAACGAGAGGUUAAUGCGAUAAUCGGGGGGAAGUUGUAACCUGUAACACACCUCGUUCACUCUCCUCAGAACUUUGAAUGGCCCCACAAACCGCGGGCCCAGCUUCCGGCAGGGUAGGCGGAGGGGCAGGUUUCGGGUCGAGAGCCAGACCCGGUCCCCCGGUGCGAACACUGGGGCCUCACUGCAGUGAUGGUCUGCGCCCACUUUCUGGCGCAGCACGGCUCGCUGAAGGUGGACAUGGGCAGCGUCCCAUGUUUCCUCCACGCGCCUGAACCAGUCGUCCACCACAGGAGCCUCGGUCUGACUCUGAUGCCAAGGCUGAUACCCCAAUACACACUGGAAAGGGGUGAGGUUAGUGGAGGAGUGGAGGAGCGAGUUCUGGGCCAUCUCUACCCAGGGCACGAACGCUGCCCACUCUCCCGGCAGGUCCUGGCAAUAGGACCUCAGAAACCUACCCACAUCCUGGUUUACUCUCUCCACCUGCCCGUUACUCUCGGGGUGAAAACCCGAGGAAAGGCUGACCGAGACCCCCAGACGUUCCAUGAACUCCUUCCAGACCCUCGACGUGAACUGGGGACCCUGAUCAGACACUAUAUCCUCAGGCACCCUGUAGUGCCGGAGGACGUGUGUAAACAAGGCCUCCGCAGUCUGUAGGGCCGUAGGGAGACCGGGCAAAGGGAGGAGACGACAGAACUUAGAAAAACGAUCCACAACGACCAGGAUCGCGGUGUUACCCUGUGAGGGAGGAAGAUCGGUCAGGAAAUCUACCGACAGGUGCGACAACGGCCGCUGUGGAAUGGCCUGUCCUCUUGAGGUACUCCACCCUACCUAGGUCCUGGAGAAGGGAAAAGGUAGAUCUGCCCAUGGGUGUACAUUCCCACGUAGAUAACCCAUUGUUUUAUACACUAGGUUAGCCGGGCAGAUGUCACCCUUGUAUUUUCUUGGAACCAGGUAGGACAGUGGGUUAGGGUGUAGAAUGUGUUAGGAAGGAUUAGGUGUGUAGAAGAGGAGGGACCUUUUGUUUAUUUUCAUUAAUUGGACCCCGAUUCCAAACAUUCCCUUCUCUUACCUUCCCUGGUUGUUGUUGUUUUUUUUGUUUUCUUACUGAUUCUUUAUGGGUGUUUUAUAUUGUUUGUUUAAUUACUUUACUAAACAUCCCCUGAGG